UGCAUUUGAUGUUGGCACCUUAUCGUAGCAGUUCGGCAACGUAGGAGGUUUCUGAUACAAGGCUGAUGCAAAACAAUAUUUCCCUGUGCAAAAAGGUAGGAAUCUCCCUCGGGCCCUUCAGUUGAAGUCAUGAUUUAGAGGUGAGUGUAGGCAGCGUCCCGGAGGAACAAGCACUCACUGCAACCAUCUGAGGAGCGUUGGAGAUGGCUGCGGUGAUGAGAAUUGGCUCUGGAUGUGAGCAGGCUGGCUUUCCGCCUGAAAAAGGACAAAAGGUGGAUCCUGCCUUUGGUCUCACUCUUACGAGCGUGAUGGUACAUUUGGCUUCUCUCUUUAGUGUACCUCUGUUUCUUUGGGACUGUGGUGCUGUGACGGCACGCCGCAGAUUAUAAUGUACUGAACUUUUCAAAAACCGUUCUCCACCCUUGAGCAUUUUGGUGUCUUGCUCUUUAGGGCCAUUUCGGUUGCAGCUACUAUUUACUGUUUCGUCUCUGCCAGCCUUUAAACGUGCAAAGACUGAAGUGUUUGCCAAAUCUCCUCAUCACAAUGCCUCAAAUUUCAUGAAACGGAGAGCGUUUAAACAGCAGUUUUCAAUGGCUGCCACAUGUUUCCAUUUGGAUUUAUAUCUUCACUUUGACUAGGCCAUUUUAAGACAUAAAUCUGCUUCAAUCUCAACCAUUCCACUGUAGCUCUGGGUGCAUGUUAAGGUUUUUUUGUCUUGUCAGAAGGUGAACUUGUUUGUAAUUCUGGCCUAUGCAAAUAUUUCACAUUAGCUUUUUUAAAAUUAUUAUUAUAAACUGAUUAUUUGAUUUUUGAAUACAGUUGUUUACACUGGAUUUUGUUGAUUGGUACCAAAAACCAUCUAAAAUGUUAAUUCUGCACCCUAUAGAUACUUUUUUGGUUGCCUACAUGAUAUAUCUCAUUAUAAAGCGUCGAUGUUUGCAAAAAUGUGGAAAGAAAGUUGUGACGGGUCUCUGGUAGCUUCUCAGACUUCUAUAUCUUCAGCUGUUUAUGUGCAAUUGCACACAAUCUGAGUCAAAUCACUUCCUCAACCUUCAUGUUUCUGUCAUUCCUGGACCCACACUCUUGACAACUCUUGAUUGAAAUGUGCAACAUUUAUUUAUUUAUUUAUUUAUUUUUUUGUUGCUUACUUGCACUGAAACACUGGCGAAAUACUGCCUUCCUGCAGCAUGUUGCUCGGUUUUUCAUCAUUUUCUCAUAAUCUUACUUCUUUUUUUUUUUUUUCCCCCCCUCUCCUCCCCGAGGAAUUACGCUUGAACCUUAAGAAUGUGUUCCACCCAAACUGUGUCAAACUCCUCAGAUAUGCAGUAAACAAAGCUGGCAUCUAACUGCAGGGCGGGAUGCUGUGCCAUUUGUGCUGUGCUGGGGGACAGCGAGCCGGUUUUCUUUGCAGGCAUACCUUUAAAAUGUUAAUUGUUGUGCUCAUUUUUUUAUAAUCGAGGGAGAAGACUCUUCCCCCUAAAUAUAGCCGCGCUUGCUCGCAUAGACCAGCACUGAUUUAUAUUGCAUAGGGAAGACG
Molecule: non-coding RNA, 1537 nt
Organism: Poecilia reticulata (guppy)
Lineage: Eukaryota; Metazoa; Chordata; Actinopteri; Cyprinodontiformes; Poeciliidae
Source: RefSeq, a predicted model, not a curated record